This 301-nucleotide ribosomal RNA is filed under the name uncultured bacterium. RNAcentral's name for it is "partial 16S ribosomal RNA". It matches the Rfam family "Bacterial small subunit ribosomal RNA", at positions 509 to 809 of the family's 1533-position model. The record is from RNAcentral.
CAGCAGCCGCGGUAAUACGUAGGUGGCAAGCGUUGUCCGGAAUUAUUGGGCGUAAAGCGCGCGCAGGCGGAUAGGUCAGUCUGUCUUAAAAGUUCGGGGCUUAACCCCGUGAUGGGAUGGAAACUGCCAAUCUAGAGUAUCGGAGAGGAAAGUGGAAUUCCUAGUGUAGCGGUGAAAUGCGUAGAUAUUAGGAAGAACACCAGUGGCGAAGGCGACUUUCUGGACGAAAACUGACGCUGAGGCGCGAAAGCCAGGGGAGCGAACGGGAUUAGAUACCCCAGUAGUCCCUGUCUCUUAUACA